UACGUAGGGUGCGAGCGUUAAUCGGAAUUACUGGGCGUAAAGCGUGCGCAGGCGGUUUUGUAAGCCAGAUGUGAAAUCCCCGGGCUUAACCUGGGAAUGGCAUUUGGGACUGCAAGGCUUGAGUGCGGCAGAGGGAGGUGGAAUUCCACGUGUAGCAGUGAAAUGCGUAGAGAUGUGGAGGAACACCGAUGGCGAAGGCAGCCUCCUGGGCCAGCACUGACGCUCAUGCACGAAAGCGUGGGGAGCAAACAGG
RNAcentral lists this ribosomal RNA (253 nucleotides) under uncultured bacterium. RNAcentral describes it as "partial 16S ribosomal RNA". It matches the Rfam family "Bacterial small subunit ribosomal RNA", at positions 524 to 776 of the family's 1533-position model. The record is from RNAcentral.